UUACUGCGCAGCAAACUAGGGUGUGAAUUUACAGCACGCUAGCUGCUCUGCACUAACU
This 58-nucleotide microRNA precursor is filed under the name Taeniopygia guttata (zebra finch). Its description in RNAcentral is "Tgu-Mir-1552_pre stem-loop". The record is from RNAcentral. Lineage: Eukaryota; Metazoa; Chordata; Aves; Passeriformes; Estrildidae.